Molecule: ribosomal RNA, 578 nt
Filed under: uncultured bacterium
Lineage: Bacteria
Description: bacterial SSU rRNA
Rfam family: Bacterial small subunit ribosomal RNA
Source: RNAcentral
ACGGGUGAGUAACACGUGGGUAACCUGCCCUGUACUCUGGGAUAAGCCUUGGAAACGAGGUCUAAUACCGGAUACGACCUUCUUCCGCAUGGUGGAGGGUGGAAAGUUCCGGCGGUAUGGGAUGGACCCGCGGCCUAUCAGCUUGUUGGUGGGGUAAUGGCCUACCAAGGCGACGACGGGUAGCCGGCCUGAGAGGGUGACCGGCCACACUGGGACUGAGACACGGCCCAGACUCCUACGGGAGGCAGCAGUGGGGAAUAUUGCACAAUGGGCGAAAGCCUGAUGCAGCGACGCCGCGUGAGGGAUGACGGCCUUCGGGUUGUAAACCUCUUUCAGCAGGGACGAAGCGCAAGUGACGGUACCUGCAGAAGAAGCACCGGCUAACUACGUGCCAGCAGCCGCGGUAAUACGUAGGGUGCGAGCGUUGUCCGGAAUUAUUGGGCGUAAAGAGCUCGUAGGCGGUUUGUCGCGUCGGCCGUGAAAACUUGGGGCUUAACCCCAAGCCUGCGGUCGAUACGGACAGACUUGAGUUCGGCAGGGGAGACUGGAAUUCCUGGUGUAGCGGUGAAAUGCGCAGA